CUUUCCCGCGCGUGCCGGGCAAAACCCUUCCCUUCGGCGUGAGGCGCCGAGGAAAGCUGGCUGAGUGGCGGUGCAAAGAGCGAGCAUGAUUACGAUGACCACCUUGCCUGGCUUGCACUUUUUCAAAGAAAUGGAGGCUGGUAUGGAUUUUGAGUCAAGGGCCAAAGGAGUCAGACUGAAGAGUAAUGAAUUAGUGACUGACGUCAUGACAACCGUAAGACAGAGAAGGGUUGAAAAAGGCGAUGAGGCGGCUGAAGAUCAGUCUUCAGAGGAGAAGAAUGUGAAGCCUGAUGGGAAAAUUCUAUCUGAUCGUACAGGUGGAAAGCUGUGGAACAUACUCUCAGUAACUGUUGGUGGAAUUGUUGCCAUCUCUCUUGGACUUCUUACUUCUGUUUAUGUUGCUACACUGCAUGAAAAUGACCUGUGGUUUUCCAAUAUUAAGGAAGUCGAAAGAGAGAUUUCAUUCAGAACAGAAUGUGGACUUUAUUAUUCCUACUACAAACAGAUGAUUCAGGCUGCUUCCAUCCAGCAAGGUUUACAUGGUUUAGUAUAUGACAAUAAAACUGAAUCUGUGAGGACAAUUAACAUACUUGAAAGAAUGAAUGUUUACCAGGAGGUGUUUCUCAGCAUUCUGUAUAGGAUUCUUCCAAUUCAGCAAUACCUAGAGCCCGUUUAUUUUUAUAUCUACACUUUGUUUGGACUUCAGGCAGUUUAUGUCAUUGCUCUGUAUGUAACAAGCUGGCUUCUUAGUGGAACAUGGCUUUCAGGGUUGUUGGCAGCUUGCUGGUAUAUUACAAACAGAAUAGAUACUACAAGAGUAGAAUUCACCAUUCCUUUGAGAGAGAACUGGGCACUACCAUUCUUUGCUGUUCAGAUAGCAGCCAUCACAUACCUACUCAGACCUCAUUUACAGCCUGUUCAAGAAAGAUUGACACUUAUGACUGUAUUCAUAGCAACAUUUCUCUUUAGCCUGACUUGGCAAUUUAAUCAGUUUAUGAUGCUGAUACAAGCAUUGGCAUUAUUCAUACUGGACUACUUUGACAUGCUUCCCACAGCAAAGGUUAUGUGGCUGUAUAUAAUUCAGAUUUCUGGAUUACUGCUAGUCUGUGUCCUACAGUUCUUUAAUUCUAUGAUUCUUGGAUCAUUACUUAUAAGUUUUAAUGCUUCUGUCUUGAUAGCAAGAACAAUGCAGAAAAACCUAAAAAAGGGCGGUUUGCUUAAUAGGCUUGGGAAACUUAUCCUCCAUGUACUAUUAGUCUUGUGCUUGACUCUGCUAAUGAAUAAAUUUAUCAAGAAAAUUCUUAAUCUUGAGUCAGAUGAACAUAUAUUCAAAUUCCUGAAAGCAAAAUUUGGAUUUGGGGCAACAAGAGAUUUUGAUGCUAACCUAUAUCUUUGCGAAGAAGCUUUCGGUUUACUACCAUUAAAUACUUUUUCAAGACUCUCGGAUACAUUACUUUUUUACGUCUACAUAUUUGUUCUCUUCCUUAUGACAGUAGCAGCUGUAAUUGUUGCCUUCCGGAACCUCAGUGGUUCAAAUCAAGUACAGUGCGUGGAAAAAAUGGAAGAAUGCACAAUAACACUGAAGCCUGAUGCUGCUUACAACUUAAUGCACACAGUUCUUUUUGGAUGUCUGGCAUUAAGCACAAUGAGAAUGAAAUACCUCUGGACAUCCCACAUGUGUGUAUUUGCAUCUUUUGGCCUGUGCAGUACAGAAGUAUGGAAACUUAUCCUGAAGUGUAUUCAUCUCUACACAUCACAGAGGACACGCAUGAUAAAGUAUUUUAUACCAAUAAUUGCAUUACUAUACAUUUCACAUAAGUUCUGGCCGGGAAUAAUGGAUGAGCUGUCAGAGCUGAGAGAAUUCUAUGACCCAGACACUGUGGAGCUGAUGAACUGGAUUAAGUCAAACACUCCAAACACAGCAGUGUUUGCUGGGAGCAUGCAGCUAUUAGCUGGAGUCAAACUGUGCACUGGACGGACCUUAACUAAUCAUCCCCAUUAUGAGGAUAAGAAUCUGAGAGAGAGAACAAAACAGAUUUAUCAGAUCUAUGCCAAGAGAUCUCCUGAAGAUGUUUACAGAAUACUGCGAUCCUUUGGCACAGACUAUGUGAUCCUAGAAGACAGCAUUUGUUACGAAAGAAGGCACAGUAGAGGCUGUCGGUUACGUGACUUACUUGAUGUAGCUAAUGGCCACAUCAUGGAUGGUUUGGGAGAGAAUGAACCUGAUUUGAAACCUUCGUUGUAUCCUCGCUUCUGUGAGGAAAUCAAGAAGAACCUGCCUUCUUACACCAUACACUUCACUAGAGUGUUUCAGAACAAAACAUUCCACGUUUACAAACUUGCUAAGCAUAAAUAACUUUUCCAACCACGGCUUCCAGUUCAGUAUUUUGAUGCUAGGACCCACAUUAGAAAAUGCAGAAGUUUACAAACAUGUUCCAUUUGUAAGACAUUUUACAUUGAUGGUUUCUUGUUUAAUUCCUGUGACUCUUAUUUUUUUAGACAGUUUAGUUUUGAUAACAUUCUUGACAUUGCCAAAAUUUUCAUAGAUUCAUAAAAAAAUGCUAGCAGGGACCAUUUUGAUUAUAAAGUCUGACCUUCUGAAUAUCUAGGAUAUGAUUGCUUUCCAGUUGAAAGACACACAAAAUGAGCAGCCUGCAUGACCACUGCGGAAUAGCAAGGCUAUGAACUUCUGCUCAGCAGUUUGGGUUUUUACUAUGAAAUGACAGAAAUUCAACGAAAGCAGGCCACGCUCCUCCUGUACCGAGUAUGCAUUAUCUUUGUGAAUCCUUACAAUAGUCACAAAAAUAAGGUUUUGUCUUACGAUCUUAUCCUCUGUGCUCUUUCAGUGCCUCUUUUUUGAAUUCUUUGGGAAUGUAUGCGAAUAUGAGUUUCCAAGCUUGUGAAUGUGAUUGCAGAAUCAGUGAGUGCAGAAUCAGCAAACAAGUUUGAAGAGUAAAACUUUAAUCAUUGUCCAGCAUUUUUAGUGAUACAGAAACAUACUGUUUUAUAACAUUAAGCAUUUGAUGAUGGAGUGAUACAUAUUUCUAAUGAGAAUAAAGGUUGGAGCAUGCUUGAUACAUGUUGCAUGUUUGUAUCCUCGUAAAAUUCUCGGAACAAACAAAAAACCAAAUUUCUCAGCCUGGAUUCUCACAACCUUAUUUUCUGUAUUUGCUUUCUGAACUACAGGGGAUCCUUUUUCUCCCCAUGUGAAUUCCAGGAGUAGGAUACCAAAAGUGAACACUGCCAACCUUACAAACGAAAAAUUAAUCUCUAAAAUAUUUGCUUUACAUGAUUUCAGACACAAAGCUAUAUAUUUUAGCAUAAAAUCAUUGUGUCCUUGCUCAUUAUCCUAACAAAUAGAUUACAGUUAUUUUAAACUUACUUGGAAGAUUAAGUGAAGACAGGCCUCUGUCCUGAGAAUUUUGUGGUUUGUUUGUACCCUUUGUCUUUUUACUGGCUAGAACUUUGUGAAUUGUAUUGACUUUCUAAAUGCUACGUAGAUAACACGUGACUUUUGCUGUGUUUUAGCGCUGCUCUGGUUUUAUAUUGAAAUUUGAGAUUAAGUCUGAUUGAAAGUCAAACAGUACUCUCCAACUUUAAUUAGACAUCCACUAGGAUCAUUUGUUUCUUAUGAAAAACAGAAUUGUAAUAAUCAAGUGCCUCUAGGCCAAUGUUGAAUUAACAUUUGGACACCUAUAAGAGUGUUUGUGGCCUGUGCAAGUAACUCGGUUAUAAUAAUUACCACUGCAAUUAAUUUCUAAUGAUGGGAAACUUAAAGUGCUACUGAUAGCAAACUCCACAUUUAAUUUAAUCAAGAUGUGUAAUGAGAUUAGCUUUCACAGCUGAGCUGUGUUCCAAUUCCAAAUGAUUUAAAUGUUUUCCCUUUUCAGUUGUACUAAGGUAAAUUACUGAAGAGCUGGAGAUGUCACAUGCUCAAACAAUUUUAUAUUCAGUAAAUACUCAUUAAACAAUGUUCAACAUCUUUCUGCACUUUCAUGCUAACACAAAAGGGAAGUGUGCUUUAAUCAGACUGCAUUUAAAUCAAACAUUGACAGUAGCUAGGUUGUUAAACUGAGCAACUGAAACUCCUGAGUAAUUCCUAGCCUGUAUCCCUUAAUGAGGUUGGAGACCACUGCAGUUUAACAUAAUACAAUAAUAAAACAUUUUAAUCAGUAUUAAAACUUUAAUUAGGCCCGUAAUGAUGCAUGCCUGUUCUUGCUGAAAGCAUGGGUCAGUGAGUUCCUCAAUGAGUGCCUUACAGUAAUUGAAAACAAGCACACGUAAGGUAAAAUGUGUCUAGGCUGUGGUGUCUUACUUUAAAAUGUGGUUGUAUCUUUCUUCAAAGGUGCAGUAACUUUCCUGGGAUUGAAAUGAGAGAUUCCAAGAUCCAGUGGUGCCCCGCCAUUGUCAGGAUUUACUCGUAGGUAACAGCUGAGACUAAGAAGUCCUGACCGUAGCAGUAGUUAUUUUUAAAUGGACUUUUUUCAGAAACACAGUCUUUCAUGUUGCCAAAGGAGAAAUUCAACCUUUUCAUAGAAACUACUGAGUGCAAAUUGUUGUUUUGUUUUGUUUUUUAAACAAAACAGACCCCAAGCUACCAUAGGUCUUUGGGAAGCAUAAAGACCAAGGGCUGCCACGAUCCAGAACCACCACAGUAACAUAACAUGGUUUCUUCUUGCAACACAAACAUCCCCCAAGGUAGCACACCAGAAAUUUAAAAUUAGAGAUACAAAGUACUUUGGAGAUUGCCUAACUCUUGCAGUUCACAGUCUUUACAAGCCUAGGUAGCUCGCGACACACUUAAACAAUUCCACCAGUUCCUGUAUCAGAAAGAUGCAAUACUGAACGCAAGGGCGUAUUUCGGUGGCUGGGCAGUACUGCAUUCAGAAGACCUCCUUAAAGGACUAGAGUAGAAAACGCCAAGGAACAAAACCACUUACCAGCUCAGAGGAAAGCAAUACACACACCAACACAGCACUCGGAGAGAGGGAGCAGCUGCUUCUCUGCCCCCGAUUUAAAGGCUUCCCAGCGGAGCAAGGCAUGCUGGGGAAGGCUGGAGCAGCAGGCAGCAGUCAGGGCUGGCCCAGCCAUGGGGCUGUGGGACUGGUGGCAAAAAGGGCUUCGGUUCCUGUUCCUGGAGGUUGGGCGUGAGAGUCUGAGGCUGCUCGGAGCAGCUUGCUGGCCUUCCUUGCUCUGUUGCAAGUUAAAGGUGCAUCAGCCAUGAAUGUUACCGGCCAGCCCCCAAUCCACUUCAACUCCAGCAAGAAGCUGACACACCUGACUCGUGAACAUUGCAAGGAAAGACCUUCAGACCUUCAGUCUUCCGGCAUCCUAAGACACCAGGGAGGGAGUCUGACAACAUCCAAGGGAUGCUGGGUUUUCUCUUCACUGAAAAUGCACCUGGUAUCCCCAGCCAGCUCUUCCCAAGGCAUUACUUGGCCACAGCUGUAGUUGGUCUGAGCUUCUACUAAAAGAAUCAGUCAUCUCCAGCCUCUCAAACACAAUUGUUGCACCACUGCUAGGAAAGCAGGUUUAGCAAAACAUGAGGGACAGGAUUGAGGAUGCCAAUUACAUGGUUCCUGCUGGUCCUUAGUUUAGGCUCAGUUCAGUAGCCCAUUAGGAAUGAAAGAUUACGCUGAACUGUGGUGUUUGCUACCUUUGAGGCUAGUAUCUUUGAAAACCUGGCCUUUUAAUUAAGUACUUAGUUGCAAGCAGCUGAUUUGAUGUGUUGUGCCUAAAUUUGCUUCCUGCAUUUAUAGGACAGCAUGAAGAGAUUCCAUUAAGUUAUAACCAAAGUUAAAGAUCACCAUCCGUGCUGCUUCGUUCCUUUACCUGGAUCCAUGGACUCCUCUGCACUGCGCUCAGGAAGCAGGUGCUGCGACUGAGCCUCAGUCAGGGAAACAAGAUGGAUAUAACACAACAUGGACUUUAUUUCCACAAGAAAAAGACAUCAUGCUUUUUUUCUUCAAAUGACUGCUAAAGCUCCUACUGAAAACAGCUCACACACCAUGCUUUCUUCAUGCUUUGUGCACCACCUUAGCUUAGGUGCAUAGGAUCUCUCAAGGAGUCCUUUAUUACCUUAGUGACUAAAAAUCUAUUUACUUCUUAAACACGGUAUAUAUGAGGAUGGCUGAGUACCCCAAGUUCUCCCUUUAUUC
Molecule: RNA transcript, 6158 nt
Organism: Egretta garzetta (little egret)
Lineage: Eukaryota; Metazoa; Chordata; Aves; Pelecaniformes; Ardeidae
Gene: DPY19L3
Gene name: dpy-19 like C-mannosyltransferase 3
Exons: 23
Source: RefSeq, a predicted model, not a curated record